This 253-nucleotide ribosomal RNA is filed under the name uncultured bacterium. RNAcentral describes it as "partial 16S ribosomal RNA". It matches the Rfam family "Bacterial small subunit ribosomal RNA", at positions 524 to 776 of the family's 1533-position model. The record is from RNAcentral.
UACGUAGGGGGCUAGCGUUGUCCGGAAUCAUUGGGCGUAAAGCGCGUGUAGGCGGUCCGGUAAGUCCGCUGUGAAAGUCGGGGGCUCAACCCUCGGAUGCCGGUGGAUACUGUCGGGCUUGAGUACGGAAGAGGCGAGUGGAAUUCCUGGUGUAGCGGUGAAAUGCGCAGAUAUCAGGAGGAACACCAAUUGCGAAGGCGCACACCUGGCCCGAUACUGACGCUGAGGCGCGAAAGCUAGGGGAGCGAACAGG